GAGUUUGAUUAUGGCUCAGGACGAACGCUGGCAGCGUGCUUAACACAUGCAAGUCGAACGGGAACCUUUAUUUCGGUAAGGGUGAGAGUGGCAAACGGGUGAGUAACACGUAGGCAACCUGCCGACAGGAUGGGGACAACAUUCCGAAAGGAAUGCUAAUACCGAAUGGAGUCCGGGGAUGGCAUCAUCCCCGGAUAAAAGAUGGCCUCUGAAUAUGCUAUCGCCUGUCGAUGGGCCUGCGUCUGAUUAGCUAGUUGGCGGGGUAACGGCCCACCAAAGCGACGAUCAGUAGCCGGUCUGAGAGGAUGAACGGCCACAUUGGGACUGAGACACGGCCCAGACUCCUACGGGAGGCAGCAGUGGGGAAUCUUCCACAAUGGGCGAAAGCCUGAUGGAGCAACGCCGCGUGAGUGAAGAAGGUCUUCGGAUCGUAAAGCUCUGUUGCACGGGACGAAAACCGGGUUUGAGAAUAUUGAACCCGG
This 482-nucleotide ribosomal RNA is filed under the name Selenomonas sputigena. RNAcentral's name for it is "bacterial SSU rRNA". It matches the Rfam family "Bacterial small subunit ribosomal RNA", at positions 9 to 468 of the family's 1533-position model. The record is from RNAcentral. Lineage: Bacteria; Bacillati; Bacillota; Negativicutes; Selenomonadales; Selenomonadaceae.